Molecule: ribosomal RNA, 497 nt
Filed under: uncultured bacterium
Lineage: Bacteria
Description: partial 16S ribosomal RNA
Rfam family: Bacterial small subunit ribosomal RNA
Source: RNAcentral
GAUGAACGCUGGCGGCGUGCCUAAUACAUGCAAGUCGAGCGAACAGACGAGGAGCUUGCUCCUCUGACGUUAGCGGCGGACGGGUGAGUAACACGUGGAUAACCUACCUAUAAGACUGGGAUAACUUCGGGAAACCGGAGCUAAUACCGGAUAAUAUAUUGAACCGCAUGGUUCAAUAGUGAAAGACGGUUUUGCUGUCACUUAUAGAUGGAUCCGCGCCGCAUUAGCUAGUUGGUAAGGUAACGGCUUACCAAGGCAACGAUGCGUAGCCGACCUGAGAGGAUGAUCGGCCACACUGGAACUGAGACACGGUCCAGACUCCUACGGGAGGCAGCAGUAGGGAUUCUUCCGCAAUGGGCGAAAGCCUGACGGAGCAACGCCGCGUGAGUGAUGAAGGUCUUCGGAUCGUAAAACUCUGUUAUUAGGGAAGAACAAAUGUGUAAGUAACUAUACACGUCUUGACGGUACCUGAUCAGAAAGCCACGGCUAAGUACGUA